Molecule: non-coding RNA, 87 nt
Filed under: Haptolina ericina
Lineage: Eukaryota; Haptophyta; Prymnesiales; Prymnesiaceae
Source: RNAcentral
GCGUCCCGCCUGGAGCAAGCUCGGGGCUGAGUUUGAGGAGUCGAUGGCGCUAAAUAUCGGCUCAGUUGACUGCCAGAUCAAAGAGAA